Molecule: ribosomal RNA, 253 nt
Filed under: uncultured bacterium
Lineage: Bacteria
Description: partial 16S ribosomal RNA
Rfam family: Bacterial small subunit ribosomal RNA
Source: RNAcentral
UACGAGUGGCCCAAGCGUUAUCCGGAAUUAUUGGGCGUAAAGGAUGUGUAGGUGGUUAUGUUAGUCGAACGUCUAACCUCUGUGCUCAACAUGGAGACAGCGUUCGAAACGGCAUGACUAGAGUAUAGUAGGGGUAAGCGGAACUCAUAGUGUAGGGGUGAAAUCCGUUGAUAUUAUGGGGAACACCAAAAGCGAAGGCAGCUUACUGGACUAUUACUGACACUGAAACAUGAAAGCGUGGGUAGCGAAUGGG